RNA transcript from Orcinus orca (killer whale), 3611 nucleotides. It is a transcript of the gene named threonyl-tRNA synthetase 2, mitochondrial, with no coding region annotated. The transcript has 19 exons. Lineage: Eukaryota; Metazoa; Chordata; Mammalia; Artiodactyla; Delphinidae. The record is from RefSeq and is a predicted model, not a curated record.
GGGACUAAUGGGAAUUACUGAGAAACUCACAGCUGUCCCCAAAUCCAUUUCCCCUCAUACUUUACUACAUAUCUGGUUGUGUUUCAAUUUUUAUUGUGUAAAACAAAUCAAAUAUACCUAGUACUGUGUUCUGGAUAUAGCAGGGAGAGGGAAGAGAAGGGAUAAAGGAAGUUGAGAGCUAGGAUGGGAAUGAGUGGCAAAGGUCUUGUGUAGGAAGCAGAGAGCUAAGAUUCUAGGGUCAGGCACUUCUUUCUGAAGUGAAGAGGGAGUUGCAUUGGAGUAAACUCUAUUACCAGAGAAAGUCUGGUGUGGUAGAAGAAUACAAGAUGUGGAUUCAGAAUCCAGCGUCAGUGCUUACUGUUUGGCCUUAAACCACUUACCUUCUCUGACCUUAAAUUCCUCAUCUUUAAGAUUAAGAGGUUUCUAAGGUCCCUAUUUAAGCACGAUGAGUAUGAAGGGACUCCAAGGAGUGCCCUCUGCAGAUUUUUCGCUCUAGCCCCAAAGUGGUUAUAUUCAUUUGUUCUCAUAGCUUGUAGCUAUUGUUGCCCAUUACUGUGUACCAUGCAGUGUAUUAGGCGAUUUACAUAAAAUUAACCUCAACAAUUCAGAAUGAUAACUAUUAUUAUUCCCAUUUUAUAGAUAAGAAAAUUGAAGCUUAUUAGAAAUUAAUUUACCCCAAAUUACAUAGCGAUCCAGGAUUUACACUAGGUCUGUCUUGUCCCAAAGUCUAUGCUUUUACCUGUUACCUACCUGCCAGUGGAGACUACGUAAAAGAAAAUGGUUAAAAGAAAAUAACUACCCUUUCUAAUCUGUUUUCUCCCGCUCGCACUCUGGAGAAUUUUCCUGCCCCUGCCCUCAAAGCCGCAGGAUAUCUUAUUGCUACUUUGGUCUGAAACUGCAGGUCUCUGAAUUGCCCAUAUGUGUAACAGUUUAGGUCUUCCGGUCAGCCGGAACCAGCCGCAACGCUGCUCUCGCUGUGUGGGGUGUACCUCUUCGGAGUUCCUGGAGGUGGUCCCAGACUGGAGUGGCGGCUGUAACAACCAAUAGGCAUGGACAUUGCUGGGCCGGAAGCCAAUGAGGAAUCUGGCGAUGGAGAAGCGGCGAUCAUUUAUUUGAAGAUGUAGGACGGGUCUGAAGGAAAAUGGGGCUGUGUCAGAGGUGGCGGCGGCUUCGGAUCCCAGGGUUACAAGCCUGCGGGCUGCACAUGGUGCGUGAGGCAGCUGUGCCGACCCCUCCACACUGGUUGGUAGAGCGGCUUGGCCUUUUUGAGCAGCUAUGGACUGCUCAGGUAAAGAGGUUAGCAAGCCUGGCACAGAAGGAACACCGGACUAUCAAGAUAUCACUUCCUGGAGGCCAGAAAGUGGAUGCUGUGGCAUGGAACACAACCCCUUACCAACUAGCCCAGCAGAUCAGUUCUAAACUGGCAGAUACUGCAGUGGUUGCUCAAGUGAAUGGAGAACCUUAUGAUCUGGAGCGGCCCUUAGAGACAGAUUCUGACCUCAGAUUUCUGACAUUCGAUUCUGCAGAGGGGAAAGCAGUAUUCUGGCACUCUAGUACCCAUGUCCUGGGGGCAGCAGCUGAACAACUUCUAGGUGCUGUUCUCUGUCAAGGUCCAAGCACAGGAUGUGGCUUUUACCAUGAUUUCUUCCUUGGAAAGGAACGUCUGUUUGUCUUUGCCAAUAAUUUUAGAUGUUUUUGGAAGGCAGGAUUUCAUCCCAUGACCAACACCCAGGUGAUGCUCCUUAGAGGAUGGAAGCCAACCAACCCUCAUCUUUCCAGGACAAUCAAGGGCUCAGAGCUGCCUGUUUUGGAACGGAUUUGUCAGGAACUUGCAGCUGCUGCUCAGCCCUUCCGGAGACUAGAGGCUUCCCAGGAUCAGCUUCGGCAGCUCUUCAAGGAUAACCCCUUUAAGCUUAACCUGAUCGAGGAGAAAGUGACAGGUCCAACGGCAACAGUAUAUGGGUGUGGUAUGUUGGUUGAUCUGUGCAGAGGCCCCCACCUUCGGCAUACUGGACAGAUUGGAGGCCUGAAGCUGCUAUCGAACUCAUCAUCCUUAUGGAGGUUUUCCGGCACCCCAGAGACACUGCAGAGAGUGUCAGGGAUUUCCUUCCCCACUGCAGAGGAGCUGAGGGCCUGGGAAGAGUGGAGGGAGGAAGCAGAGUUACGGGACCACCGGCGCAUUGGGAAGGAACAGGAGCUCUUCUUCUUCCAUGAACUGAGCCCCGGGAGCUGCUUCUUCCUGCCUCGAGGGACAAGGGUGUAUAAUGUACUCGUGGCUUUUAUCAGGGCCGAGUACACCCGCCGUGGUUUCUCAGAAGUGAAAACCCCCACGCUGUUUUCUACGAAACUCUGGGAACUGUCAGGGCACUGGGAGCAUUACCGGGAAGACAUGUUUGCCCUGCAGCCCCCAGGCUCUGACAGCCAUGCCGGCUCCCAGAGUGACCACUCUACCAGCCAUCCCACAGGCACGCUUGCCCUCAAGCCCAUGAACUGCCCUGCGCACUGCCUGAUGUUCGCCCACCGGCCCAGAUCCUGGCGAGAGCUGCCCCUGCGACUGGCCGACUUCGGGGCCUUGCACCGGGCCGAGGCCUCUGGCAGUCUGGGGGGACUGACCCGGCUACGGCGCUUCCAGCAAGAUGACGCUCACAUCUUCUGUGCACCCGAUCAGCUGGAAGCAGAGAUCCGAGGCUGUCUUGAUUUCCUCCGCUCUGUCUACACUGUCCUUGGGUUCUCCUUCCGCUUGGCACUGUCUACCCGGCCAUCUGGCUUCCUGGGAGAGCCGUGCCUUUGGGACCAGGCUGAGCAGGUCCUUCAACAGGCCCUAGAAGAAUUUGGAGAACCCUGGGACCUCAACCCUGGAGAUGGUGCCUUCUAUGGGCCUAAGAUUGACGUGCACCUCCGCGAUGCCCUGGGUCGGCCCCAUCAGUGUGGGACAAUCCAGCUUGACUUCCAACUGCCCCUGAGAUUUGACCUCCAGUACAAGGGGGCUGAAGAUUCUUGGAAACUGGAAGGUGAUCUUGGGUACACAUUGUGUGACACUUUUCCAUUCCAUCCAUUCCCCCCCCCUUUCCCUCCAAGGCAGGCGGGGGCCCUGGAGCGUCCAGUCCUCAUUCAUCGAGCAGUGCUAGGUUCUGUGGAAAGGAUGUUGGGAGUGCUGGCGGAAAGCUGCGGGGGAAAAUGGCCACUAUGGCUGUCACCAUUCCAGGUGGUGGUCAUACCUGUGGGGACUGAGCAAGAGGAAUAUGCCAGGGAGGCACAGCGGAGCCUGCAAGCUGCAGGACUGGUUGGCGACCUGGAUGCUGACUCCGGACUGACCCUCGGCCGGAGGAUCCGCCGGGCUCAGCUUGCCCACUACAAUUUUCAGUUCGGUUCAGAGCUCUGUCUUGAAGACAAGGAGUAGGAACGUCUCAGCCAGAUUACCUGGUUCUCUAGUUUUACACAUCCACUCAUCCUGCCAGCCUUGGAGCAAGCUGCCCAUGAUCCCUUGGACUUGCACUGGUUGGCCAGAAAGAGCAGAGUAAGAGAACAGUGAACAUUCGGACUCGAGAUAAUCGUCGACUUGGGGAAUGGGACUUGGCCGAGGCUGUACAGCGGCUACUGGAGCUACAGAA